This 313-nucleotide long non-coding RNA is filed under the name Setaria italica (foxtail millet). RNAcentral describes it as "long non-coding RNA (SITA_LNC005422)". Lineage: Eukaryota; Viridiplantae; Streptophyta; Magnoliopsida; Poales; Poaceae. The record is from RNAcentral.
CCGCAUCUCGCCAUCUGUAGGGCUUCUGAAUUCACGGAUUUCCUUGGCAAGUUCCUGAACGUAUUGCAGGAUAUGACUAGAAGUGGCCUAUGAUGGAAGAGACUGGUAAGGGAGGAAGCAGCAGAGUUCUGAAUACCUCAUCAACUGUCGUGUUGAACGCAAUUAUCCCACCAUAUGCACUAACGGGAUCUGCCCUCACAGCUAACCUGUAAGCUUCAAGGAUAUCCUGCCGGGAAGCAACUCCACACGGAUUUGUGUGCUUCACCACUACACAAGUUGGGCUAUCAAACUCCGAGACACAAUUCCAUGCCGC